UACGUAGGGGGCGAGCGUUGUCCGGAUUCAUUGGGCGUAAAGCGCGCGUAGGCGGUUACGCAAGUCGGUUGUGAAAAUCCGGGGCUCAACCCCGGACCUGCAUCCGAUACUGCGUGACUUGAGUUCGGUAGGGGAGUGGGGAAUUCCUAGUGUAGCGGUGAAAUGCGCAGAUAUUAGGAGGAACACCGGUGGCGAAGGCGCCACUCUGGGCCGAAACUGACGCUGAGGAGCGAAAGCAUGGGUAGCAAACAGG
RNAcentral lists this ribosomal RNA (253 nucleotides) under uncultured bacterium. RNAcentral's name for it is "partial 16S ribosomal RNA". It matches the Rfam family "Bacterial small subunit ribosomal RNA", at positions 524 to 776 of the family's 1533-position model. The record is from RNAcentral.